AACCAUCACCUCUCCCUCCCCUCGUCCUCCUCUCCGGCCACCGGGAACCCUAAGAUUUAGAUCUCCAACGAUUUAGAUCUCAGACGAUGAGGGAGAUCCUGCACAUCCAGGGUGGGCAAUGUGGGAACCAGAUCGGGGCUAAGUUCUGGGAGGUGAUAUGCGACGAGCAUGGCAUCGACGGCAGCGGCAGGUACAACGGUGACUCUGAACUCCAGCUCGAGCGGAUUAAUGUUUACUACAACGAGGCCAGCGGGGGUCGAUACGUCCCCCGGGCGGUGCUCAUGGAUCUCGAGCCUGGCACGAUGGACUCCGUCAGAUCCGGGCCGUUCGGCCAGAUCUUCAGGCCGGAUAACUUCGUCUUCGGGCAGUCCGGCGCCGGGAACAACUGGGCAAAGGGCCACUACACUGAGGGCGCGGAGCUCAUUGAUUCGGUACUCGAUGUAGUGCGGAAGGAGGCAGAGAACUGUGAUUGCUUGCAAGGGUUCCAAGUCUGCCAUUCUUUAGGAGGAGGUACUGGUUCUGGCAUGGGCACACUUCUCAUCUCCAAGAUCAGAGAGGAGUAUCCAGAUCGCAUGAUGCUGACAUUCUCUGUUUUUCCAUCACCAAAGGUCUCUGAUACAGUUGUGGAACCAUAUAAUGCUACUCUCUCAGUGCAUCAGCUUGUUGAGAAUGCUGAUGAAUGUAUGGUGCUGGACAAUGAAGCAUUGUAUGACAUUUGCUUCCGCACGCUAAAGCUUGCAACCCCAACCUUCGGAGAUCUUAAUCACCUCAUCUCUGCUACAAUGAGUGGUGUCACCUGCUGCCUCCGGUUCCCUGGUCAGCUCAAUUCUGACCUCCGGAAGCUUGCCGUGAACCUGAUUCCCUUCCCCCGCCUCCACUUCUUCAUGGUGGGGUUCGCACCACUGACAUCAAGGGGCUCCCAGCAAUACAGGGCCCUCACUGUUCCUGAGUUGACCCAACAGAUGUGGGAUGCCAAGAACAUGAUGUGUGCUGCCGACCCCCGUCACGGCCGUUACCUGACCGCCUCAGCCAUGUUCCGUGGAAAGAUGAGCACCAAGGAGGUCGAUGAGCAGAUGAUCAAUGUUCAGAACAAGAACAGCUCCUACUUCGUCGAGUGGAUACCAAACAAUGUCAAAUCCAGUGUGUGUGACAUUCCACCCAAGGGGCUGAAGAUGGCAUCCACUUUCAUUGGGAACUCAACCUCCAUCCAGGAGAUGUUCAGGCGGGUGAGCGAGCAGUUCACCGCCAUGUUCAGGAGGAAGGCUUUCUUGCACUGGUACACUGGCGAGGGCAUGGACGAGAUGGAGUUCACUGAGGCCGAGAGCAAUAUGAAUGACUUGGUGGCAGAGUAUCAGCAGUAUCAGGAUGCAACAGCUGAUGUGGAAGAUUAUGAGGAAGAGGAAGAGGAAGGGGAGGAAGCUUGAGCUGAUUCUCUUUUUCCCAGCUUGGCUUGAGAUGGACUUGGUUAUGUUUGUACCAUGAAGGACAUGCUUGAACACUGGAUUGGCGUCGGACCGGUGUGCGUACUUCGAUUACAAAGACUAAGGCUGUGGAGGAUUGAUGACAACGAUGAAUUUCUUUGGCAGAGAGCUUAGUGCAAAUCUAAAAAGAACUUGUAGCAUGCAUCUCCACCAAGAAGGUAUUUUACAUUGUGCAAACUUUCUUCUGUUUUUUCCCGUAGUAGUGUACUAUUAUUUAUUUUAUAAAGUGCAUUCAUAAAUUAUAGACUAGCAAUAUAUAUACAUUCAUAGAGGGUUUGUAGGAGCUAAAUACAGCGUUCAAUGAAAAUUAUGAAUUUAAACUGUAAAUCUCACACUUAUCUGAACUACAUCUGACAAAAAAGUGACAGAUGAUAAGGUUGCUGCUUGAGCUAUUUUCUGAGACUAGCUGUUCAUACUUGAACUUCGGCAGCAAAUGCAUUGUUCCCAGACUCGUUGUUCAAGUAACUUUUUACCAUGUAAUGGCUAGUAUUUUAAUCAAUGUGAUUAAUGUUGUAAUAGGAGGCAGGUUUGGAUCUCAAUCAGUGAGCUAAUGACAUGCACUUAGUGAUCAGUGCUCCUCAUGCAACGGAAACACAAUCAUGGACCAUUCUAAAGCUGAGAGAGAAUAGAGAAGGUGAUCUCUUCAACUUGAUCUUUCAGUACAUUCAUGAGAGGAGGUUUUAGUAAAUAAAGCAAUAUCCAUUUAACUUUGUUUAUGUGAGAGAACUCAAAUCAGAUAUCAUUAAUUCUCAUAAAGUUUUCUUUGUUUAUGCUCCUUUACGUAGUAACAAUCUUUGGGAUUAGAGCUACUUACAUAUUUCCUCUUAUAAUUUGGACCAUUUAGCAUCGAUGUUUCUGUACUUGGAAAAAAUUACACUAGAAUCCCAAUGGCCAUGAAAUUACUGUAUUUGACUCUGUUUGUAACAACGAUGUCUAUUUCUUUGAUGGAAGCUGUUGCAUGUGAUAUCAUGUGCUGAUUCAACGAUUAAGUGAAGAGCAAAAUGAUCAUUUCAUGGAAUACGAUUGUGGUACAAAGGGGCUGGUAGUUUUGAAUGGCCCUGCGUCCACUUCACCAUGUUGCCCCAAAUCUUUCUCCCAGGGUUUGCAGCAAAUCUUUUCGCAAUCAACAAAUCCUCCUCUAGAACAUCGCAAUGCCAGGUCAGAGUUCUAGCUUGAGUUCGAAUACGAAUGGAUUAUGCUAUUGUGGUAUGCGAUUUGCGGUGAUGAUCUCUUGGACAGAGUAGAACCCUUGGAGGCGGUUUGCUUCAUGUCAAAUACUACAUGUGAGUUCGACGAUCAAAUAUCCUUGCCAUUCUUCUGAUCUUUUUGUUUAUUAGUUGCAUAGCUGGCCUUUUUUUGACCGGAAGUUGUUGAUCCACCUAUGCGUGACCAUGUGAAUGCCGAUAACCCGUCCUUGUUUAUGCUGUAACAGAAAUAUGGGGGAUGCUAAUUUUUUGUUUGGAUUGAUCCACCUGUGUAAACGAGCAAACAAAUAAAUUUCAUGUUUGCUGUGAAAAGUGAACAUCCUUGAGAAAUUAUAUUGGGAAGCUUUGAUCA
RNA transcript from Musa acuminata AAA Group (dessert banana), 3038 nucleotides. It is a transcript of the gene named tubulin beta chain, with no coding region annotated. Lineage: Eukaryota; Viridiplantae; Streptophyta; Magnoliopsida; Zingiberales; Musaceae. The record is from RefSeq and is a predicted model, not a curated record. The transcript is spliced from 4 exons.